This 253-nucleotide ribosomal RNA is filed under the name uncultured bacterium. RNAcentral describes it as "partial 16S ribosomal RNA". It matches the Rfam family "Bacterial small subunit ribosomal RNA", at positions 524 to 776 of the family's 1533-position model. The record is from RNAcentral.
UACAGAGGUCCCAAGCGUUGUUCGGAUUCAUUGGGCGUAAAGGGUGCGUAGGCGGCGCGGUAAGUCGGGUGUGAAAUCUCGGAGCUUAACUACGAAACUGCAUUCGAUACUGCCGUGCUUGAGGACUGGAGAGGAGACUGGAAUUUACGGUGUAGCGGUGAAAUGCGUAGAUAUCGUAAGGAAGACCAGUGGCGAAGGCGGGUCUCUGGACAGUUCCUGACGCUGAGGCACGAAGGCCAGGGGAGCAAACGGG